AAAAAAGACAAACCUGAUUCCCAUGUCCAACGUUUGACCGUUCGUCUUAUUUAAAAAAAUUAUAAAAAAAAAUAAAAAAGAUAAGUCACGUAUAAAGUAUUAAUCAUGUUUUAUCAUCUAACAACCAUAAAAAUACUAAUUAUAAAAAAAUUUCAUAUAAGACGGAUAGUCAAACAUUAGCACAAGAAUCCAUAGUUUAUCUUUUU
RNAcentral lists this microRNA precursor (206 nucleotides) under Oryza sativa Japonica Group (Japanese rice). RNAcentral describes it as "MIR812 microRNA precursor family". It matches the Rfam family "MIR812 microRNA precursor family". Lineage: Eukaryota; Viridiplantae; Streptophyta; Magnoliopsida; Poales; Poaceae. The record is from Rfam by way of RNAcentral.